CCUACGGGAUGCAGCAGUGGGGAAUCUUGCGCAAUGGACGAAAGUCUGACGCAGCCACGCCGCGUGAGUGAAGAAGGCCUUCGGGUUGUAAAGCUCUGUCGGAAGGGACAUGGUACCUUUAAAGGAAGCACCGGCUAACUUCGUGCCAGCAGCCGCGGUAAUACGAAGGGUGCAAGCGUUGCUCGGAAUUAUUGGGCGUAAAGGGUAGGUAGGUGGUGACAUUUGUCUGGGGUGAAAUCCCUGAGCUUAACUCAGGAAGUGCCUUGGAAACGGUGUCACUAGAGUGCUGGAGAGGUUCGCAGAAUUCUUGGUGUAGCGGUGAAAUGCGUAGAGAUCAAGAGGAAUACCAGAGGCGAAGGCGGCGAACUGGACAGUACUGACACUAAACUACGAAAGCGUGGGGAGCAAACAGGAUUAGAUACCCUAGUAGUC
This 432-nucleotide ribosomal RNA is filed under the name uncultured bacterium. RNAcentral describes it as "partial 16S ribosomal RNA". It matches the Rfam family "Bacterial small subunit ribosomal RNA", at positions 338 to 795 of the family's 1533-position model. The record is from RNAcentral.